Carassius auratus (goldfish) is the source of this 130-nucleotide non-coding RNA. The record is from Ensembl. Lineage: Eukaryota; Metazoa; Chordata; Actinopteri; Cypriniformes; Cyprinidae.
GUGGUUAACCCACUGUUGCUGCAAGACUGAGCAGUGUUUUGCAGUAUUUGGUACCACACAGAGUGAGUUUGGUUCCUGCCGACAGGGCCUGUCAAGUUAUUGGGUUCUCUGUGCGAUGGUUCCAUACAAA